AAGCGGAGAUGUACAUAUAAGACGAGAAGACCCCAUGGAGCUUUAAACCCAACGACACCCGCCCCCCUCCAAAUCCUACUAUUUACCCGGUGAUUGUUUGUUUGGUUUUAGGUUGGGGUGACCGCGGAGUAUAAGAUAUCCUCCAUGAAAAAAAGCUAACUGCCCUUAUUAGAGAAAGACACUUCCAAAAAAUAAUAAAUUAAUUUUAAAUGAUCCGACAUUCGAUCAACGAACCAAGUUACCCUGGGGAUAACAGCGCAAUCCGUCCCGAGAGCCCCUAUCGACAGGCGGGUUUACGACCUCGAUGUUGGAUCAGGGUAUCCUAGUGGUGCAGCAGCUACUAAAGGUUCGUUUGUUCAACGAUUAAAACCCU
RNAcentral lists this ribosomal RNA (373 nucleotides) under Boophis madagascariensis (Madagascar bright-eyed frog). RNAcentral describes it as "partial 16S ribosomal RNA". It matches the Rfam family "Bacterial large subunit ribosomal RNA", at positions 2076 to 2597 of the family's 2925-position model. Lineage: Eukaryota; Metazoa; Chordata; Amphibia; Anura; Mantellidae. The record is from RNAcentral.